CCCCUGCCGGGGCUGAAUGCUCCACGGGCUGCAGCGACACCCCACCCCCACGCUCCAGGGGCUGCAAUGAUCCCUCCCUGCAAUGUGUGCACCAGGGGUGCAUGCUUCAUUGCUUCGUGCAUGUCGGAUGCAUAAUUCAUAGGCUGCAGCAAUUACUCUCCCCCCCCCCCCCCGGCAGGGUUUGCAUGGCUGCUAUUUCCAUGCUUAAUUGGGUGAACUAUUCACCCCACCCUUUGCAAGCCCGAGCUUGCUUCAUUUGCGGCAGCGAACCCCCCAUCUCCCGGUAGGCUAGGUGCCUGCUUUAUGCUUGAAUUCCCUCCCCCCCGCGCCCAGUUACUCUGGAAGCUGGGCAAAACGAGGCGGUGAGGUAUUCAUACUUCAUAUACACUGUGGUGACACUAUCCCCACUUCCUUAUUUGCAGGCUGGGCACGAGGUUGGGGCUUCUUGCACAGGAACAUGGGGGACAGAGGCCGGAGUUUCCCUCAAGCUGCAUUAAAAACUCCUUGGAUUAGCGAGAAGAGGCCACUCAACCCAGGAGGUGACCAGGGAGGGGUCAGAGUGUGCAAGCCAGGUGACCUGUCCCAUUCCGAGCGCACCGGCUGCAUCCCCUGUGCCGGGGCUGGCAUUAUCCAGCCAAGGGUCCCUGCUGAACCAGGGAUCAAACGACAACUCUGAGCAACUUCCCUGAGUUUUUCAACGGUGGAUCUCAAAGCGCUUUACAGAAUGGGAAACUGAGGCACCCGGUUUUCAACUUAUUGAAAGCAAGAGAAAUAUACACAAGAUGAAGAAACUCUCACAUCUCACCGUAAAGCAUGCUCCCCGGCAGCGAACAUCUCCCCAGAUGCAGGUGUGAGUGAGGCCUUGGGCCUAGACCCAGCUCCAGAAGCACCCGGGUUGGUGACCAGACACACACAGGCCCAGGUCCGAUGAAGUGAGCUAUAGCUCACGAAAGCUUAUGCUCAAAUAAAUUUGUUAGUCUCUAAGGUGCCACAAGUUCUCCUUUUCUUUUUGUGAAUACAGACUAACAUG
Chelonia mydas (Green sea turtle) is the source of this 1030-nucleotide long non-coding RNA. RefSeq lists it as uncharacterized. The record is from RefSeq and is a predicted model, not a curated record. NCBI's taxonomy places the organism in Eukaryota, Metazoa, Chordata, Testudines, Cheloniidae. The transcript has 3 exons.